Molecule: long non-coding RNA, 849 nt
Filed under: Homo sapiens (human)
Lineage: Eukaryota; Metazoa; Chordata; Mammalia; Primates; Hominidae
Description: long intergenic non-protein coding RNA 2492
Source: RNAcentral
GGAGGAUCAUCUGCUGUGGGUGUUCCUGAUCUUUGAGCCAUGAUAAUGUUACUGGUUGGAUGUCAGGAGCAGGCCAUGUGGAUGAUUAAAAGAUGAAUAUCAUAUACAGCAUGGAUAUGUUGGACAAAAAGAUGAUUCACAUCCCAGACAGAAUGGAGCAGUUGUUCUUCCAGAUGGCAUGAAUCCAACAGUGAAGAAAUCAGAAUACGUUGCUUUUGUGAGGGGCAGCUGCUGAUUUUCUCUGAGCUCCGUUUCCAGCCUUCACAUGCUCUGCUAUUCAUCACAGGGUAAAUUCUGACUAUAGGAGGUACUGACAGAAGAUUAGGGAAGAACAGAGGGCUAAAUGUUUAUUGACUUCUUGAAAAAUGCUAUGUGUCUUGCCAGACUUAGCUUACAAGUUUGGUUAAAGAGAGACUGACAUGAGCAUAAAGGAAGGGACAUUGAAAGAGGCAGAGAUGAAGGAAGAAAUUGUAACUUACUCCUUUUAUCCCACCCAUCAAAGGAAAGACAAGUUGACAAGUAUUGAUUCUGCAACAAACUGAGAAGAAACCUGGCGAUUCACAACAGAGAGCUGAGAAAUCCUAAGUCUGGAUUCCAGCUAAAUGGGAGCAGACUAAAUAGAGCGGCAGUCGGCGAACUACAUGUAGCCCAUGAACAAAAUCCGGUCCAGCACGUGUGUUUUUUUUUACGGCCCACAAAUGAGUCUGUCUUUACAGAUGAAUGUUAAAACUGGGUUGACAAGAGAGAACACUCACUUUGAACCGCAACUAAACAAAAUAUUAUCACCUUUCCCCUCAAAAAAGGUUUUUGUUCUUCUCAUUAGUAAAUUUGUAUUAUGACAAAAUCAUA